Stereum hirsutum FP-91666 SS1 is the source of this 103-nucleotide non-coding RNA. The record is from the annotation of a RefSeq genome assembly. NCBI's taxonomy places the organism in Eukaryota, Fungi, Basidiomycota, Agaricomycetes, Russulales, Stereaceae.
AGCUCGGUAGCGCAACGGUAGCGCGUCUGCGUCCACUUGCUGCCUAUAUAUGUUUCCAGUCAUGGGUGAUGGGAAGAUCUCGGUUCGACUCCGAGUCGAGCUA